RNAcentral lists this ribosomal RNA (505 nucleotides) under uncultured bacterium. RNAcentral's name for it is "partial 16S ribosomal RNA". It matches the Rfam family "Bacterial small subunit ribosomal RNA", at positions 28 to 507 of the family's 1533-position model. The record is from RNAcentral.
GACGAACGCUGGCGGCGUGCCUAAUACAUGCAAGUAGAACGCACAGUUUAUACCGUAGCUUGCUACACCAUAGACUGUGAGUUGCGAACGGGUGAGUAACGCGUAGGUAACCUGCCUGGUAGCGGGGGAUAACUAUUGGAAACGAUAGCUAAUACCGCAUAAUAUUGAUUAUUGCAUGAUAAUUAAUUGAAAGUUGCAAUUGCACCACUACCAGAUGGACCUGCGUUGUAUUAGCUAGUAGGUGAGGUAACGGCUCACCUAGGCAACGAUACAUAGCCGACCUGAGAGGGUGAUCGUCCGCACUGGGCCUGAGACACGGCCCAGACUCCUACGGGAGGCAGCAGUAGGGAAUCUUCGGCAAUGGACGAAAGUCUGACCGAGCAACGCCGCGUGAGUGAAGAAGGUUUUCGGAUCGUAAAGCUCUGUUGUAAGAGAAGAACGGCUGUGAGAGUGGAAAGUUCACACUGUGACGGUAUCUUACCAGAAAGGGACGGCUAACUACGUG